Molecule: long non-coding RNA, 390 nt
Organism: Saccostrea cuccullata (small rock oyster)
Lineage: Eukaryota; Metazoa; Mollusca; Bivalvia; Ostreida; Ostreidae
Exons: 3
Source: RefSeq, a predicted model, not a curated record
CGCAUAAAUUUUGCAUUUUGGGAUGUAAGCUUCUAGAAUGUUAGUUAUUGUGGGACUUUGCCUUACUUAAAGACAACAUUUGUUGAGAUUUAUUCCUGAUGGAGACCAUCGUGAGUACCAAGCUCCAGACGGGUGUAAAAAUGGGACCAUAGACUGGAACUACCCAAAAGAGUACAUUAUAGUGAAGUUUAAGAGAGAAAGUCAUGACAAGUUUUCUGUCUGCAUUGGCGAAAAUAUAGGUGGUGACAUGUUCGCUCUUUAUGACGUCACCGGACAAGGACGACAUGCAAUUCCAGCAGGCACCUGGCCCUGUAUCGAUUCUCAACAUGGGAGUAUUUCAAUAGAAAUUCAUGCUCCAGAAAUGCAGACAUAUAUGGGAGCAGUUGAUUA